Molecule: ribosomal RNA, 502 nt
Filed under: uncultured bacterium
Lineage: Bacteria
Description: partial 16S ribosomal RNA
Rfam family: Bacterial small subunit ribosomal RNA
Source: RNAcentral
AUUGAACGCUGGCGGAAUGCUUUACACAUGCAAGUCGAACGGCAGCAUAGGUGCUUGCACCUGAUGGCGAGUGGCGAACGGGUGAGUAAUACAUCGGAACGUGCCCAGUCGUGGGGGAUAACGUAGCGAAAGUUACGCUAAUACCGCAUACGAUCUAAGGAUGAAAGCGGGGGACCGUAAGGCCUCGCGCGAUUGGAGCGGCCGAUGUCAGAUUAGGUAGUUGGUGAGGUAAAGGCUCACCAAGCCGACGAUCUGUAGCUGGUCUGAGAGGGCGACCAGCCACACUGGGACUGAGACACGGCCCAGACGCCUACGGGAGGCAGCAGUGGGGAAUUUUGGACAAUGGGCGAAAGCCUGAUCCAGCCAUUCCGCGUGCAGGAUGAAGGCCCUCGGGUUGUAAACUGCUUUUGUACAGAACGAAAAGGUUUCUACUAAUACUAGGAGCUCAUGACGGUACUGUAAGAAUAAGCACCGGCUAACUACGUGCCAGCAGCCGCCGCCG